Molecule: long non-coding RNA, 1903 nt
Organism: Oncorhynchus tshawytscha (Chinook salmon)
Lineage: Eukaryota; Metazoa; Chordata; Actinopteri; Salmoniformes; Salmonidae
Source: Ensembl
CAGCAUUGUCAGAUACCGUGUAAACCUUACUUUGUGCAACGCGUUUUAACAGAGGAGAUAUGCUGGUCCAACUUGCUGGUCCAACUGGUCCAAUGCUGGUCCAACUUGGGUCCAACUGGUCCAAUGCUGGUCCAACUUUACGGGACUUGUUGAAAUGCAGUCGCCCUCAACUAUGACUCGUUGGGGAUCUCAGUGAAUUUCAUAGUAGACCACUUUGACCAAACUGGUUAUCAAGCUGAUGUCCCCUUGUAUCACAACCUUUCAUUGAGGGGGGCUUCUGCUGCUGCUGCUAUCUGUUUUGGUCAAGGCAUACAUUAUUUCUCUGCUGGGAAUCUAAGCAAUAUUCAGGAACCAGGCUCUGUGAAGUUCAGUUAUCCUACGGACUCUGGCUGUGUGCAUCCCAAAUGGCACCCUAUUCCCUCCCCACUGGCCACAGACGUCAGUUCAACGUCGAGUUUUGAUUUACAUUUGGUUGAGUUUGUCAACUACCGUGAAAUUAGCAACAACAACAACAAUGUCACUGUUGUCAUUGGGUUUCAGAUUAAAAGUUUGGUGAAAAAAAAAAAAGUCAGUUGAUUGAUUCAACGUCAUCAAGUUGCAUUUUUGGGUUGAAAUAACGUGGAAACAACUUUGAUCCAACACUUUUUUGUUGUUUUUUGUCCACUGGGAUCAUAAUUCACUACUUCUGACCAGGGCCCAUAGGGAUCUGGUUCAAAGUAGUGCACUAUAUUAGGGAAUAGGGUGUCAUUUGACCAUGGCCCAUAGGGAUCUGGUUCAAAGUAGUGCACUAUAUUUUUUGAAUAGGGUGCCAUUUGACCAGGGCCCAUAGGGAUCUGGUUCAAAGUAGUGCACUAUAUUAGGGAAUAGGGUGUCAUUUGGGAACGUACUCUCUUAACAGAGAUCCAUAAUACAGUGUUUCACAGCAGUAGCAACACAGCCCUCUAGCUAGAGAUUUGAACAGGGCUGGGUCACUCUGAUAUUCUGGCAUGUCUGGCAAACCAGCAUCUGAUUUAGACCUGGGAAACCAGGUGUGUGUGUGUGUGUGUGUGUGUGUGUGUGUGUGUGUGUGUGUGUGUGUGUGUGUGUGUGUGUGUGUGUGUUUAAGUGUCAGACAGGAGAUAGAACAGCAGGCAACCAAGUUCCUGAGGAAUAGAAAUCUUGACCUUCCCUGGCUAAGAACAUCUGUCUUAAAGCUGCAUGGUCCUGCUCCUCACUCACUGGCUGUCCAGGAGUUAGCCACAACACACACACACAGUCGCUAUUGAACUGCAGUGGUGAUGUUGUCGAAAAAACAGGAGACACAGGAACCACCACCAGACCCUCUUAGUCGAUCACAGCACCCAGACCCCCCUCAUCGAUCACAGCACCCAGACCCCCUCAGUCGAUCCCAGAGCAGCGGUGUUCUACAAGCAGCAUGCUAACUCAGGCUAUAUCCAUUCUAGAUGAUUAUGAUGAUGAGAAAAUAUGAACUGACAAAUGAACAGAAAGAUUCCUGAGUGUGAAAUCCCUUGUGAAGAGGACCUCGGAGAGACAGACAGCCAUGGGACUGUACAUGAUAGGCAUUCAGAACCAUGGGGAUUGAUACAGACAUGGGGAUUGAUACAGAUGUGAUAUGCAUUCAGAACCAUGGGGAUUGAUACAGACAUGGGGAUUGAUACAGAUGUGAUAUGCAUUCAGAACCAUGGGGAUUGAUACAGAUGUGGUAUGCAUUGUAAAUCUGAUGAGGAAUAAAACUUGAAUAAAUGUUUCACCAUGACGGACACAACUGAAUGUCAUCUCGUGUCUGUCCAAUUUUAAAAUGAUCUUCAGCCUUGCAUAUGGCACCCUAUUCCCUAUGGGCCCUGGUCAAAUGGCACCCUAUUCCCUAUGGGCCCUGGUCAAAUGGCACCCUAUUCCCUAUGGG